UCGCCACAUCCAUCAGAUUGGAUGACUGGAGAAUGUAAUCACAACGAAUGGCUUAGAUCUAAGGAGAACACAUGUGCUAAGUCACCCAUGUCACACUUUGUUUAGUCAGCAGGUUAAAAUAAACAACCAACCGGAGCAUGACAUGUGGAUUAUCACUUAUUAAUAUGAAUUUAUAAAAUACCAAAUUGAGGGAGAACUGUCAUGAAGAACACAUGAAGACCAUCGUAUUCUUCCUCUAGUUCCGUGAAAAUGAGUCAUCACAUCUCAAAGCUUCAUGGCGCAUUUAGAACAGCAACGCACUCGACUUAGAUCAUAUAUGCUUUCUCCAAGAUUAGAUUUCACUAAUUCCACCUAAUCAUGGAGAGAUUCAACUCAAACGGGAAGAACACCAAAACCUAAUUCUAAAAUUAAAUGAUGAUGAUAGAGCAAGAAACAUUCAAACCAUGGGGGAAAUGUUCAGUGCAUCAAGACGCUUCCAGUGGUAUCACAUUUUGCGCAAAUAGAUCAAGAUUUCUACCUUGCUGGAGUUAGAUUAGAUGCAGGUUCCGACGUGAAUGAAGAGCUCAAGUGAUCUGAAAGUGGUUUUAUGAGGCUACAUGAACGCUCUGUCUCAGAGAAGUGUUAUGGUAUGAUUUCUGCAGAAUUUUGCUGGCUGAGAGCUUCUUCUCAAUGAAGUAGAGUGAUUCUCAAUUUAUAGGGGAUCCCAGGGUGAAUGAUACGUGCCAAUUGAGGCCAAACUCGUGUGAAGCAAAUGGGAAACGUAACUAAUUUUUGGAGGGGAUUGUUAAGCUGGAAACAUGGAAUUUGGGUGCACAUCCAUCCCAAAAUUCGUGGAAAUCAUUGAGCAAUGAUGUGGCAAUCAUUUGGCUUCUAGAAGGUCUCUCAAUUUUGUAUUUUCUGCAUUUGCCUUGUUGUUUUCCACGCCAUUUGCACAUGGUUUUCACUUGUAUUGGGCCUGUUAUUCAUGUCUCUUGGCACCUAUUUUGAUACUUGAACCUACAACUUACAUUUGAUGGUUUGGCAUGGUAAUUCAAUGGCUUGCCCGAGCUUGUAUUUCCAUGUUAACGGUGCUGCAAUAACUUUGUUUCAUGGAAACCUUUUCCUUUCUUGGCUUAUGGAUUGGAUGAUGAUGUUGUUGUUGUAAGGGCGACCGUGUAUUCUCCAUGGAGGGAGUUUGAAUGAAGUAGACAAGAUGGAAGCAUGAAAGAGGGAACAUGGAAGAUCAUGAGGUUGCCAAGACUUUCUCUUUGAAACCAAUCCAAUCCGUUAGGCAUUAAUGUAUGUGGCAUGUCAUGUAACAUGUGAAUGCACAUGGUGAAUGUUUACACAAAUAGAAGAACCUACUUAUGCUUAUAAUAGAAACCUUAAUUGUGAUGAUAUGUAAACAUGUUUAAUAAAAUGGGGAUAAAUCUGAUUAUGAUUGUUAGUUCAA
Lathyrus oleraceus (garden pea) is the source of this 1432-nucleotide long non-coding RNA. RefSeq lists it as uncharacterized. NCBI's taxonomy places the organism in Eukaryota, Viridiplantae, Streptophyta, Magnoliopsida, Fabales, Fabaceae. The transcript is spliced from 2 exons. The record is from RefSeq and is a predicted model, not a curated record.